Ipomoea nil (Japanese morning glory) is the source of this 492-nucleotide long non-coding RNA. RefSeq lists it as uncharacterized. The record is from RefSeq and is a predicted model, not a curated record. The transcript is spliced from 3 exons. Lineage: Eukaryota; Viridiplantae; Streptophyta; Magnoliopsida; Solanales; Convolvulaceae.
CUGAAACUAUAGCUGUCUCUACAAGAAGCCUUAGCGUAAAAACUCCGACCCAGAGGAACUUCCGAUUCAAUUCAAUGGCGAACAGCAAUCUUCCCCGUAGAAUCAUCAAGAUUGAUAGCUGCUUGCAUUAAAGCCUUGAAGGAGGGGCUAUCAUAUAUUCCAAUAGUAUUAUUUAAUAAUUGUAGCAUUGUAGAGCUUCUCUAAUUAUGAACUUGUGCCCAAAACUAGAGCACAGCCAAGGCCUAAUAGUUCUAUGUCUUUAGGAGGUAUGGAUUAUGUUGAACCCAAGAAAUGGAGCAACGUUUUGGGGAAAAUUCUUAUGGUUGAUGUCCUUACAGCUCUAUGUGUCCUUAUAUUCAAGCUAAGCAAUUCUGCAAUUCUCAUGUGAUCUAACAUGGUUGCUUCGGUGGACUGAACUCUACAAAAAUAUAAAAUGUAAAAAUCAAAUGCAUUCUUUUAUAAUUUUAAACUGACCCUUCCAAUUUCUGUUUC